AUUGAACGCUGGCGGCAGGCCUAACACAUGCAAGUCGAGCGGAUGAAGGGAGCUUGCUCCUGGAUUCAGCGGCGGACGGGUGAGUAAUGCCUAGGAAUCUGCCUGGUAGUGGGGGAUAACGUCCGGAAACGGGCGCUAAUACCGCAUACGUCCUGAGGGAGAAAGUGGGGGAUCUUCGGACCUCACGCUAUCAGAUGAGCCUAGGUCGGAUUAGCUAGUUGGUGGGGUAAAGGCCUACCAAGGCGACGAUCCGUAACUGGUCUGAGAGGAUGAUCAGUCACACUGGAACUGAGACACGGCCCAGACUCCUACGGGAGGCAGCAGUGGGGAAUAUUGGACAAUGGGCGAAAGCCUGAUCCAGCCAUGCCGCGUGUGGGAAGAAGGUCUUCGGAUUGUAAAGCACUUUAAGUUGGGAGGAAGGGCAGUAAGUUAAUACCUUGCUGUUUUGACGUUACCAACAGAAUAAGCAUCGGCUAACUUCGUG
Molecule: ribosomal RNA, 484 nt
Filed under: uncultured bacterium
Lineage: Bacteria
Description: partial 16S ribosomal RNA
Rfam family: Bacterial small subunit ribosomal RNA
Source: RNAcentral